UUACGGGAGGCAGCAAGUGGGGGAAUAUUGCACAAUGGACGAAAGCUUGAUGCAGCGACGCCGCGUGAGGGAUGACGCCUUUCGGGUUGUAAACUUCUUUCACUAGGGAAGAAGCGAAAGUGACGGUACCUGCAGAAGAAGCACCGGCUAACUACGUGCCAGCAGCCGCGGUAAUACGUAGGGUGCGAGCGUUAUCCGGAAUUAUUGGGCGUAAAGAGCUCGUAGGCGGUUUGUCGCGUCUGUCGUGAAAGUCCGGGGCUUAACCCCGGAUCUGCGGUGGGUACGGGCAGACUAGAGUGCAGUAGGGGAGACUGGAAUUCCUGGUGUAGCGGUGGAAUGCGCAGAUAUCAGGAGGAACACCGAUGGCGAAGGCAGGUCUCUGGGCUGUAACUGACGCUGAGGAGCGAAAGCAUGGGGAGCGAACAGGAUUAGAUACCCUGGUAGUCCAUGCCGUAAACGUUGGGCACUAGGUGUGGGGGACAUUCCACGUUUUCCGCGCCGUAGCUAACGCAUUAAGUGCCCCGCCUGGGGAGUACGGCCGCAAGGCUAAAACUCAAAGGAAUUGACGGGGGCCCGCACAAGCGGCGGAGCAUGCGGAUUAAUUCGAUGCAACGCGAAGAACCUUACCAAGGCUUGACAUAUACCGGAUCGUUCCAGAGAUGGUUCUUCCCCUUUGGGGUCGGUAUACAGGUGGUGCAUGGCUGUCGUCAGCUC
RNAcentral lists this ribosomal RNA (714 nucleotides) under Kocuria sp. CVD098C. RNAcentral's name for it is "bacterial SSU rRNA". It matches the Rfam family "Bacterial small subunit ribosomal RNA", at positions 339 to 1061 of the family's 1533-position model. The record is from RNAcentral. Lineage: Bacteria; Bacillati; Actinomycetota; Actinomycetes; Micrococcales; Micrococcaceae.